GUGCUCACUUUGGCAGCACAUACACUAAAAUUGGACCAAUACUGAGAUUAGCACGGCCUGUCCACAAGGAUUACAUGCAAAUUCAUAAGUAUUCCAUAUUUUU
Molecule: small nuclear RNA, 103 nt
Organism: Cebus imitator (Panamanian white-faced capuchin)
Lineage: Eukaryota; Metazoa; Chordata; Mammalia; Primates; Cebidae
Source: Ensembl